This 918-nucleotide long non-coding RNA is filed under the name Olea europaea subsp. europaea. Lineage: Eukaryota; Viridiplantae; Streptophyta; Magnoliopsida; Lamiales; Oleaceae. The record is from RNAcentral.
GAUUUAUGUGUAAUAUUAUUUUAUGGAAUAUUAUAUGGUUGAAAAUAAGAGAAGAAAAAAAUGAAAGAGAAUGAAGGCCAAACGAGAGUUAAUUUGCAAAUCCAUCGCCCAUUUCUCAAUGGAUUUUUCUAAGUGUACAGUUCACGUAGUACUGUAGACUUACAAGCCCCUCAUGUAAGGGGAUGUUAUGCUUGGUGUAUAUGGCUCUUUCUCAAUUGUCAUAUCACUCGUGUAUGUUCCCCAAAGAGGCGAUAGCAUUAAAUUAGUCAAAUACACGCUGCUGACUCUUUUAAAAGUAUAAUUUAGUUAGGUAUUCAUUAAAGGCUAUUUCUUGAUAUCCAUAUGUGAAAAACAAAGUAAAAUUCCAUUCAUGUUAACGGUGUCCAAGAAACAUGUACGUAUCAAGAUUUUCAAGGCAUUUUAGUAAUCCAUGCUGCAGAUUUGCUGAUACUAUGCUAACCCUUCUUUUUGCUCUAGAAACGACUCCAGCAUUAUUAAAGAUGAAAGUUUUCCGUCACUGUUAGCGCGGAAUCAGUGAUGGCUAAACCACAUCUUUAAGCCAAUGACUUGUAUCAACUUUCACUACCAGAAAUCACUAGAUUUAAGCAGUAGUAUGGGAUUAUGGAGUUCAAUAAAUAUUGGGACCCAUACGAUGGAAGAAAAAAGUUCAAUAAAUAUUGGGACCCAUUUAACGGAAGAAAAAACAAAAAUUAAAAAAUAAAUUUGAUUUUUUAGCCAUUUGUCUGUUGAUGUUUGUAUAUAAAUUAUUGGUAGUAGCUUACUGUGCAAAUCAAUGGGAUAUAUAUCUUUUUGAUAGGGAGAUUAUUUUAUUUCAUUUCCUUUUCAUGAUCCAGCAUAUGUUUGAAAAAUUCUGGAUUCUCCCAUGAGAAGAUUUCAUAUUCAACUAGCAAUCCUAGG